RNAcentral lists this non-coding RNA (82 nucleotides) under Legionella shakespearei DSM 23087. RNAcentral describes it as "Legionella RNA 69". It matches the Rfam family "Legionella RNA 69". The record is from Rfam by way of RNAcentral. Lineage: Bacteria; Pseudomonadati; Pseudomonadota; Gammaproteobacteria; Legionellales; Legionellaceae.
AGACAGCGCUAUCGCGCUUCCUCAGCCCGAACGGCAUCGAAGUAACGAUUGGAUAAAACAAGCUUGUUAUCCAUAACUCGUU